AAUGAAAUUACUGGAUCAAACGGCAAGUGCAUUUGUAGUUUCAGAAGAAAUUGUCAGACUUUUUCACAGUGGUUGUACCAUUUUAUAUUCCUCCCAGUAAU
RNAcentral lists this microRNA precursor (101 nucleotides) under Marmota monax (woodchuck). The record is from RNAcentral. Lineage: Eukaryota; Metazoa; Chordata; Mammalia; Rodentia; Sciuridae.